GGUAACGACGGGCCGAGGGCGGCGGGAAGACGUAGGGGGCGAUCGUUGGCCUGAUUUAUUGGGCGUAAAGAGGGUGUAGGCGGCUAGGUAGGUCCGGUGUGAAAACUCGAGGCGCAACCUCGAGACGUCGAUGGAAACCAUCUAGCUAGAGUCCGGAAGAGGAGAGUGGAAUUCCUGGUGUAGCGGUGAAAUGCGCAGAUAUCAGGAAGAACACCCGUGGCGAAGGCGGCUCUCUGGGACGUGACUGACGCUGAGACGCGAAAGCGUGGGGAGCGAACAGGAUUAGAUACCCGGGUAGUC
RNAcentral lists this ribosomal RNA (300 nucleotides) under uncultured Lactobacillus sp. Its description in RNAcentral is "bacterial SSU rRNA". It matches the Rfam family "Bacterial small subunit ribosomal RNA", at positions 496 to 795 of the family's 1533-position model. The record is from RNAcentral. Lineage: Bacteria; Bacillati; Bacillota; Bacilli; Lactobacillales; Lactobacillaceae.